AUGGCUGUCGUCAGCUCGUGUCGUGAGAUGUUGGGUUAAGUCCCGCAACGAGCGCAACCCUUAUCCUAUGUUGCCAGCGGGUUAUGCCGGGAACUCGUAGGAGACUGCCGGGGUCAACUCGGAGGAAGGUGGGGAUGACGUCAAGUCAUCAUGCCCCUUAUAUCCAGGGCUGCAAACAUGCUACAAUGGCCGGUACAACGGGCUGCAACACUGCGAAGUGAAGCGAAUCCCUUAAAGCCGGUCUCAGUUCGGAUUGGAGUCUGCAACUCGACUCCAUGAAGUCGGAGUCGCUAGUAAUCCCGGAUCAGCAACGCCGGGGUGAAUACGUUCCCGGGCCUUGUACACACCGCCCGUCACACCACGAAAGUCGGUAACACCCGAAGCCAGUGGCCCAACCCUUGGGAGGGAGCUGUCGAAGGUGGGAUUGGCGAUUGGGGUGAAGUCGUAACAAGGUAGCCGUACCGGAAGGUGCGGCUGGAUCACCUCCUUUCUAAGGAGUUCCACCCAUUGAUCGUUUAGCUAAUUGGCCAUUCGGCUAUUUGGACAAUCGGUCGUUCAAAUGGGAAGAACACCCAGUUGAUGCACUGGCUACUCGUCUUCGAGUUUCGCAUUGUUGGUCGAUGAUCUUCGGGGCACCUGACAGUGCAGGCGAGAGGCCGUCGUUCUCUCUUCCGUUUCCAGGGAGCGCCCUUUGCGCGUUCGUACGCAAGAUCGCCCUUUGAGAAUUGCAUAGCGAGCACGAGCAUCUUUGUUCUUCCAAGCUACAAAGAGCCAACGGUGGAUGCCUUGGCGUCUACUACCGAUGAAGGACGUGGUUAGCUGCGAAAAGCCACGGGGAGCCGCUUAACAGGCUUUGAUCCGUGGAUGUCCGAAUGGGGAAACCCGG
Molecule: small RNA, 886 nt
Filed under: uncultured Acidimicrobiales bacterium
Lineage: Bacteria; Bacillati; Actinomycetota; Acidimicrobiia; Acidimicrobiales
Description: bacterial SSU rRNA
Rfam family: Bacterial small subunit ribosomal RNA (bases 1-490)
Source: RNAcentral